UCGGAAUCACUGGGCGUAAAGGGCGCGUAGGCGGAUUAUCAAGUCUCUUGUGAAAUCUAAUGGCUUAACCAUUAAACUGCUUGGGAAACUGAUAGUCUAGAGUGAGGGAGAGGCAGAUGGAAUUGGUGGUGUAGGGGUAAAAUCCGUAGAUAUCACCAAGAAUACCCAUUGCGAAGGCGAUCUGCUGGAACUCAACUGACGCUAAGGCGCGAAAGCGUGGGGAGCAAACAGGAUUAGAUACCCUGGUAGUCCACGCCCUAAACGAUGUACACUAGUUGUUGGGAUGCUAGUCAUCUCAGUAAUGCAGCUAACGCAUUAAGUGUACCGCCUGGGGAGUACGGUCGCAAGAUUAAAACUCAAAGGAAUAGACGGGGACCCGCACAAGCGGUGGAGCAUGUGGUUUAAUUCGAAGAUACGCGAAGAACCUUACCUGGGCUUGAUAUCCUAAGAACCUUAUAGAGAUAUGAGGGUGCUAGCUUGCUAGAACUUAGAGACAGGUGCUGCACGGCUGUCGUCAGCUCGUGUCGUGAGAUGUUGGGUUAAGUCCCGCAACGAGCGCAACCCACGUAUUUAGUUGCUAACGGUUCGGCCGAGCACUCUAAAUAGACUGCCUUCGUAAGGAGGAGGAAGGUGUGGACGACGUCAAGUCAUCAUGGCCCUUAUGCCCAGGGCGACACACGUGCUACAAUGGCAUAUACAAUGAGACGCAAUACCGCGAGGUGGAGCAAAUCUAUAAAAUAUGUCCCAGUUCGGAUUGUUCUCUGCAACUCGAGAGCAUGAAGCCGGAAUCGCUAGUAAUCGUAGAUCAGCCAUGCUACGGUGAAUACGUUCCCGGGUCUUGUACUCACCGCCCGUCACACCAUGGGAGUUGAUUUCACUCGAAGCCGGAAUACUAAACUA
This 900-nucleotide ribosomal RNA is filed under the name Campylobacter jejuni. RNAcentral's name for it is "bacterial SSU rRNA". It matches the Rfam family "Bacterial small subunit ribosomal RNA", at positions 545 to 1442 of the family's 1533-position model. Lineage: Bacteria; Pseudomonadati; Campylobacterota; Epsilonproteobacteria; Campylobacterales; Campylobacteraceae. The record is from RNAcentral.